UAAUAAUUUGGUCUUAACUGACUUGCCUAGUUAAAUAAAGGUUAAAUAAGAAAUACAUUUUAAAAAGUCGGAAGACAGCGAUUUCCGAGUUGGUUUGAACAUGGCAGACGCUCCACAUGAUGACGAAGUACGCUUACACAUACCUAUCCCCACUUACCGGAUGUUACAGUUUGCGUUUCUUCAUUCACCAAAGUCAGACAGCGCCCGGUGGAAGUGGAGGUCUUGUGCGAUUCUCUUGGCGCGAGUACAGUUGAUGAGAAUGUGUGGACGAUGGAGAAGAAGAGUAGAAUAAAAGGGGCUAAAGUUGGAAAUCAACAGCAGUUUAUGUCAACGUCCCCCUGGAUCGGGUGAAKGCAGGCUGGGAGGAGACAAGUGACCCGUACCACGUCCAGAGGCUUGCGGAUCACUAUGGGAUCUUCAAGGAUCUGUUCCCCAUGGCCUACUUCGUCCCCCGGGUCACACUGCGCGUCAGCUACGACCAAGACAGCUCAGCACAAGUACAUUAUGGGAAUCACUUGAUGCCCAGAGAGCACCUCAGGUCAGUUUUGUGGCAGAGUAGGGCUCCCUAUGGACACUGCUGCUCACCAGCCCAGAUGAGCAUCUGCUGGAUAGUGAAGGGGAGUGUGUGCACUGGCUGGUGUUAGUAUUGCAAUAAUGAUUAUUGUAUUGUGCUUUUGUCAAACUUGUAAGUGAUUUAAAAGGUCUGGGGGUAAGGGCAAUUCCACAGUAACAGAAUAAUGCGGAGACUCUGAUUUUACACUUUUUAAAUGUAUACCAAACAAAAACCCAUGAUUGCAAGUUAAACAAACCAUACAACUCUAUGCACAAGUAUGACUUAAUUUCCACCAAAAUUUUUCCAAAAACACAUUAACUUGAACAGUAAAGAUGCAAAGUUUGGUAACAGAAUGACGGUACCAACAGCACAAACUGUCAUUCUGUUAUCAAACUUUGCAUCUGCACUGUCCUUCAUGUGUGUUUGUAAAAUAUUUGGUGGAAAUUGUUAAGUAGUCCUUGUGCAUAGUUAGUUGUAUGGUUUAACUUUGCAGUCUCAACAUCACUCUGUUACUGUGGAAUUGCCCGUAACGAACUCCUUCCACCACCAAUAUGAUGAUUAAGAUAAUGACCCUUUAAAGAUAAUCUGUUUUUAAUUCAUGAAGAUUAGUUWAGUUACCAUUUGAAAUGACGACAAUCACAAAUUGGUCGCAAAAAAAACAAACCGGGCCAUUAACAUCCCAGGUGGGGCUGUGACGUCAGAGGACCCGUGUCAAUAUCUGGCCCCGAUCCCUGCCAAGGCUACCAGCUUUCACCGCUUUGUCUGUCCUGUUCAGACAGGAAGGAACCAUCAACUUCCAUGAAGACAUCUGACCAUCACCAUGGUGACUAACAGGACAUACAAGUAUCAUUUGUGCUCCAUGACCACCAUCUAUCUGUUCAUUUCACAGUAACACGCUUCCUGCAUCUCUGUCACAGCGGACACUUAAGACUGUCGAUUUCUACAGGAAGCACCAGGACCGCAUGACUCCAGCAGGCCUCUCUCUCUUCCAGGGUUGGAGAGUCCUGCUGUACAGGAUGGUAGGAAGUCACAAGUCACAGGAUUGCUGUAGGGGAUAUGGGUGGAGAUCUUUGGAUUAGGCAUCAAGGGGGUUGAGGUCAAGUCAGAUCCCCUUAAGGGAGAAACAAUGGUUUGUCUUCCUGUUGAACCAUAAAAGAUGUAAGGACUGGAGAGAAGUGCCCACAUUGGAGUAUAUAUACUUGUGGUGGUGGAAACAUGUUUUGUCUGAAUGCAGCUGUAUCGACCCUCUGAGCAGAAUAAACAUGGUUAACCUUU
Salvelinus sp. IW2-2015 is the source of this 1828-nucleotide long non-coding RNA. RefSeq lists it as uncharacterized. The record is from RefSeq and is a predicted model, not a curated record. Lineage: Eukaryota; Metazoa; Chordata; Actinopteri; Salmoniformes; Salmonidae.